This 497-nucleotide ribosomal RNA is filed under the name uncultured bacterium. RNAcentral's name for it is "partial 16S ribosomal RNA". It matches the Rfam family "Bacterial small subunit ribosomal RNA", at positions 28 to 507 of the family's 1533-position model. The record is from RNAcentral.
GAUGAACGCUGGCGGCGUGCCUAAUACAUGCAAGUCGAGCGAACAGAUAAGGAGCUUGCUCCUUUGACGUUAGCGGCGGACGGGUGAGUAACACGUGGGUAACCUACCUAUAAGACUGGAAUAACUCCGGGAAACCGGGGCUAAUGCAGGAUAACAUGUUGAACCGCAUGGUUCUACAGUGAAAGGCGGCUUUGCUGUCACUUAUAGAUGGACCCGCGCCGUAUUAGCUAGUUGGUGAGGUAACGGCUCACCAAGGCAACGAUACGUAGCCGACCGGAGAGGGGGAUCGGCCACACUGGAACUGAGACACGGUCCAGGCUCCUACGGGAGGCAGCAGUAGGGAAUCUUCCGCAAUGGGCGAAAGCCUGACGGAGCAACGCCGCGUGAGUGAUGAAGGUCUUCGGAUCGUAAAACUCUGUUAUUAGGGAAGAACAAAUGCGUAAGUAACUGUGCGCGUCUUGACGGUACCUAAUCAGAAAGCCACGGCUAACUACGUG